Molecule: non-coding RNA, 347 nt
Organism: Pseudonaja textilis
Lineage: Eukaryota; Metazoa; Chordata; Lepidosauria; Squamata; Elapidae
Source: RefSeq, a predicted model, not a curated record
GCUUUAAGAGAAGCUUGCAGAAAUGGGGAAUUUCAUGCAAAUAUAUUUUAGUCAAGUCUCUGCUAGCCAUCUAACUCAGUAUAAAUUGCAAAAUUCUCAACCAAUCAUGUACAAGAAAAGUUCUAAUAAAAACCAACAGUGUUUUGUGUUAGAAUAAAAAUUACAUCUAUAGCAAUCACAAUUACUUGAAUCAACAUUAUAUCCAUUAUAAAAGCAAAAACUCUAAGGCCUUUUACUGUCCUUCAAUCAUUGUUUUUGUUUAUUAUGCUUCACAUCUAUAUAGCAACCAAAAUUAUUUUGAGUAUAUUACAACAUCAAUAAAAUCUUAAUCACUUAUUUAAUUGCAA